GGAAUUUUGGACAAUGGGCGCAAGCCUGAUCCAGCCAUGCCGCGUGAGUGAAGAAGGCCUUCGGGUUGUAAAGCUCUUUCGGCGGGGACGAAACGGUCCGUGCCAAAACCACGGACUAAUGACGGUACUCGCAGAAGAAGCACCGGCCAACUACGUUCCAGCCGCCGCGGUAAUACGUAGGGUGCGGGCGUUAAUCGGAAUUACUGGGCGUAAAGCGUGCGCAGGCGGCUCCUUAAGUCAGAUGUGAAAUCCCCGGGCUUAACCUGGGAACUGCGUUUGAAACUGAGGGGCUUGAGUGUGGAAGAGGGGGGUGGAAUUCCAGGUGUAGCAGUGAAAUGCGUAGAGAUCUGGAGGAACACCGAUGGCGAAGGCAGCCCCCUGGGCGAACACCGACGCUCAUGCACGAAAGCGUGGGGAGCAAACAGG
This 426-nucleotide ribosomal RNA is filed under the name uncultured bacterium. RNAcentral's name for it is "bacterial SSU rRNA". It matches the Rfam family "Bacterial small subunit ribosomal RNA", at positions 358 to 776 of the family's 1533-position model. The record is from RNAcentral.